UACUUGAACUCAAAUAUUAAAUUUAAAAUCAUAAUUUUAAAACUUGAAACUUGAACUCAAAUAUUAAAUUUAAAAUUAUAAUUUUAUAUAAUUUUAAAUUUGAAACUUAAAAUUUUAAAAUUAAAAUAUUAUAUUAAAAAUUAAAAUUUGAAUCAGGGGUGGAGCCGAAGGAUGGUGGAAUUUUUUUUGUUUAAGUUGGAGUUAAUUAUUAUUUUACUCUAUUUUUUAAAAGUUUAGUUU
RNAcentral lists this long non-coding RNA (240 nucleotides) under Ananas comosus (pineapple). RNAcentral describes it as "long non-coding RNA (ACOM_LNC036399)". Lineage: Eukaryota; Viridiplantae; Streptophyta; Magnoliopsida; Poales; Bromeliaceae. The record is from RNAcentral.